RNAcentral lists this long non-coding RNA (7116 nucleotides) under Homo sapiens (human). RNAcentral describes it as "non-protein coding LINC01159:14". The record is from RNAcentral. Lineage: Eukaryota; Metazoa; Chordata; Mammalia; Primates; Hominidae.
AGAGCGAGUGCGUCCCCACCAGCCUGGCCGCCGCGGGAACUCGGGGACCGGGAGGGCGGGGGUUAGCGGGAGGAAAGGGGCACCAAGAGGCACCCUGAGAACUCAGAGGACCCAGAGGCUCCCCUCAAGCAAAUUCCCUGCUGACCCUGGACACCCCUUGAAGGAGGGGGCAAGAGGCUGCCACAAGGCUCAUCUUAUAACUCCCAGCAAGGACUCCCAGCAAACAAGUUCAGCUUGGGAUCUGCCCACCACCAAGCCUGGCUGGGAGGUGGGGGGGAGCGAGGGGCGGUGGAGAGGCAGAGUCCCUGAACAGGGAAAAGACAAUCAGUUGUUCCCCUUUCUGGUGUCAGAGGCAAAGAAGCCUGAAGGGCUGGUGGUGGUGCUGGCUCUGGGUUUAUUGACUCUGUGAUCCUGUCCAGCUGUCCUACAGGGAGUUCCAGAGCUCUCCCAAAGUGCAUGAGGAACUGCACAAGUAGGACUGGGGCACAAUACCAGAAGCUAUUUGUCUCCUAGAACCUGGCACCCCCUCCACUUACCUUACAGGAGACCCACAUCACUCAGUUCCCAGGACACCUGGUGGGAGAGUCUGGUGAGAUUUGGAGGCAGACUUCCUCUACUCACAACUUGUUUGAAAAUGGACAUAAAGAGAAGAACAGACACUCCAUCGCCCCUUCAGGGCCUCCUUUGUGUCACAAAACCUAUCCCCUCCUAGGGCACCCUUGACAUUCCCCUAGGUGGGCCUACACAUUGUUCAGAACCUGUCCCCUGUACCAAAAUAAAUAUAAAUGAGUUUGUUUCUUUAAAAGAAAUAUUACAGCUUUAAACUUUUCCCAGCCGGAAUCCACCUAAUUUCAUCAAGGUCUCUCGCUAGCAGCCAUAACCCAGGCCAAAAGGGCUUGUCCCUAGGGAGGCACCAAAGGGAGAAUACCCCAGGCCCAUUUCAUUCCACUGAGGUUUUUGAACCCCUAGGUGUCUAAGGUAAUACCACCACCAUCCCCACCUGUUUUCAGUUCUUUCUUUGUGGCUUAAGAUUGCAUUUUUGGAGGGUUUAUGUAAUGUUGUUCACGUCAGCAAGUCUCCCUGCCCCACCCUCACCCCACUGUCCUAUAUGGAAUUAUAGUUGGAAACCACACACACAUAGAAAAUCUUUGAAGAUUUUUUUCUGCUAUUCUUCCUGACUAGAAGAGUUGACAAGACAUAGACACAUUCAGUUGCAUAAAAUACAGUAGCGUGAUCAGCCUAAAUGCAUCUCAUUUGCACUGUUUGUAACCAGGGGUGGGGGCUUGUGUCACUCAUUGCCUCCCCCUCCUCUGCCCAAACCAGACCCGCCAGCUGGAAUUUCAGAGCAGGCCCCAAGGCAGCAGCCAUUUGGGAAGUGGAAGCCCUAGCCCACCCCAGUCCAGCAGGGGUGCGGGGUGGAUAGAGAAGGUGUCUGGAGGUCUGGCCUGAGGGCUUGGACCAACUUUGGCAGACCUGGGCUCUGGGAGGCUUGGCCGGUGGGUGACCACAGCUGGAAGUUGGAGGUCUGCAGCGAUGCUUCUGAGCUUCUCCUGAGUUGAGUUCAAGAAAGGGGACACCAAGAAGUAGGGGAACAGUCACUGACUAUAUUUUACAUCCACGCCUACCCCUUUCCCAGAGUUGUGUUCUCACCACCCACUUUGUCGGCGGAGGAGAAACACUGCUGCCUGAUGCUUGCACUGCUGCACUGUUCUUGCACCUGCUCCUAGCCCUGAACUCGGGCCCUGAGCUCCUCACUGCCGCCCGCUCUGCGCUGAGCCCCACUCCUGAGACCGCGAGGUGCCAGAGCAGCGCCUCUCCCACCAACUCCUAGACGCCUGUAGGAGCUGCGCCGGAGCCUUCAGAACCCCAUGGGGGUGUGGGGGUGAAGUUGGAGGUCAUCCGGCUCCCGGCUUCUCGAACGCUCUUCUGAUCGCCCAGCGGGGAGACUUCAGGGCCUGCCUCGUCAGGCCAGAUUGCAGCCCGCGACCUUCCCGGAUUAACCAAGGGCGGGGCCUGUUGCCCAGCAAGGCUGCUGCCUAACUGAGCCUCCCGGGGAACAGCCAUGACCAAAGCCCCGCGGGCCCAGGCGCGGGCACCUACCCCUACCCGCUCAGGCCUGUGGGAGCGCAGGGGCAGAGGCCGAGACGCUGGACUUCCAGCCCCACACCUCUGACAACCCGGGCACGUCUGCGGAGCCCGGGGGAACAGUCAGCGGGCUCUGCGUCCCGGGAGCUGGGGACACGCCUGCAAGGUGUGUGAUCCUUUAAAGAUCCUUAGUACUAGUUUUGUAGGGAGCCUUUGUUAUAGCUUUGUCAGCCUGCGCGCCUUCAGCAGCUCCCCCUCCCGGGCCCCUCGGUUCCCUCCGGGCUCGCCCCCAGCGGAGAGGGCCCGGCGCAGGGGAUCUGCCCAGGAUCAACUGCCCUCUUCCAGAUCCCCUUCUGCGAGAUUCUUUUCCUUUGGUUACAAUCUCCCCUCCGUGCCUGGGGCAGAUAAACACGGUUCGCCCCGCCUGCAGUAUUGGGGCGAUGCUGUCCUGGAAGAACGGGCUUUCUGAAUGUGACCUCGGGAUGCUGCAGCGGCGCAAUGCUGCUACUGCUGAAUGAGUAGCUCUCCUGCCACCGCAGGGCGACUGCGGUGGGCACAGCAGGGCGCACAGAGGAGGGGGUAAUCUGCCCACCCAGGCUAAGGAUUUGAGGGUUCUGACAAAAAAGAGCUGGUUGAGGAUGACACAGUUGUGAACUAACCUGGCUCCUACUACCCCACAGGGCAGCCAGGUCCCAGUAGUCUUGGGUACCACUGCCCCCACCAUACCACCAUUGUAAAGUAUGGACUCCUGCUUAGCCAACGUGCAGCUCUAGGCAGGAUCUCUGAAGGAUGCUCUGGCACACAGAUGGUGCAGGUAUGACUUUACCUGCACACAAGCUUACAUGUGCCCUGUCAUAUAUGGCUACACGUUUCCCCAUUUCCCCACAGUCUUCCUAUUUAACUGGUCUUCAAUCCUCCUUUCUAGGGCUUUCCGCCUGCACACAGUCAUUUGGAGAAAAUCAAGUGAGUGCACUUCUCCCCACAGAGGAUUCUGUAUGUUAUGUAACACACUCACACUGGGAUUCCUCAAGUUACCAUUUUGCCCCAACUCAGCCAGCACUUGGUUUUCUGGCGGGGGUGUCAGGAUGAUGCAAAUGGAGGUGGAAGCUUCAUUCCCUGGGGGCUUUUAUUCCCCUCCUUGAAGCCCCAGUUCAAGGCCCAGGAACAAAGGGGAAAGGUAACUGAUCUCUCUUUUGGUCUUUCUCUCCCCUCACUUCCACCCCUUCACCUGCAGGCCCUCCUCUUUGAUAAAUAGAGGAAAGCCCGUGGGAUCAGGUACAUAUGUAAAUACUGCUGACCUCGGCCGCCCCUCCUCACCGAAAAGCAGAAAGCCCGUUUCAGGUGCAGGCUGCUCCGUGCCUUUGAGUGUCCACCACUUCUAUUCCCCCAGACUGCUUGGGACUCAAGGCCACUCACUUAAUACCCGUCUCUUGUUAAAAACAUUCAGGACAACUAUUAAAUAGUUAUUGGAAGAGUUAAAGACCUUCUUUCAGGAGUGAAACGUUUUUAAAGCUGUGCUUGGCAUAAGUCUUUAAGGCGUACAAAGUAGAAUCAGUAGACUUGCCUGAGCGAUUUUGAAAUUUGAAAGAUUUCUCCCCAUGAAAUGGUAAUUUAAAAUAGUUUGUAGAUGUUGUUUUGUUCUGUGAUGGCUUUUUCACCAUUGUCACCUAAAGAUUCUCAAGACCAAGCUACUAAGACAUUUCAUUUGGUUAGUUUCUGGGUGAUACUGUGCUUUCUGAUUAGACCUAUUUAAUUUAUUUUUAACUCUGCAGGAGAGUUUUCAACCUUGGAAAUGUAAGUGAAACACAGACUCACCCUCCUUCUGAGACCUUGAUAGGGGCAGAAAGGAACAAAUCUGGCUAGCCCCCCUCACACCUGGAAGUUUCCCUGUCUAAACCUGGGUACAAUGAGCGUGGUGGGUUUUGUCACCUUUUAUUUUAUUGCUGGCUCAAGGAAAAUUCUUUGAAAUGAACAUCUAUUCUAUUUCAGUGUGCAAUGUUCCAGCCGACUUAAUGGGCUUGCCUUAUGCGGAGAGGCAGUCCUGCAGGACAGAGCUAAUGUGUGGUCUCCCAGGAAGCUCAUCAGAACACCUCUUGUCCCUUUUCUUUAAAAGAAAAAAAAUUUAAAAAGUUUUUGCUUCCAUCUCAAUGUCCAUUCCAUUAUUUUGUAGCUACAAUAAAGAAACAUGGGCAGCAGUGAUCAUUCUUUUUGUCCUAUGUAAUCAUGUCUAGUGUUAGGACCUUACAAAGCUCCAGACAUACCUCAGGUGUAUUCUGCACUUUUCAUAUUUAUUCACUGCUCACUGGGUCACACAGAUGAUUCACACUUGAUUCCACCUUCCUCUGGACAACUCUCCCUCAAACAACACCCCUCUAUCAACUUAUAGGGAAAGGAGAUUCACUUAGAGAAAACUUCUUGAAUUAAAGACCAGACUCAGUUUCGCCAGGUAACUAAUCCUGGCAUACCGGUGACUAGGAAGUCAUCACCUAACACUCUACCUAGAUAUAAACUCUCAGGAAGGAGGCAGGCCGGUGGGGACAUUUCCACAGACAUUUCUAAAACUGUGGCAAUUGAGUAUAUUUUACAGAUACAAUUUUGGUAGAUUCCCAUCCAGCUUAAGACAUUUAAAAUGCAAUUUUGUUCACACGCAUGUGCGCGCACACAGACACACACGCACGUGUCAACUAGGGUGAUAUUAACAGUCCAUUUCCACUGGGCAAUUCUGUGACAGCAACUACAACUAACAAACUUCUUUUCUGAAGAGUAAAAAAGAAAACAAAAGCCUCUCCAUCUAUUUUAAAAGGUUAUUUUAUAUUGUUUAGCAUUCUUUCGAAACAGGAAUUGGCUGGACACUUCUCCCUUUUCAAAGAUCAGGUAAACUACUCUCCCACCCACCUCCUCCCCAAGACCAAGCCAUUUUUUAAAGCAAAAAUUCUGUUUCCAAAGGAAGAAAAAUGAACAAAUUCCAUUAAUGAAUUACAUACAUGGAAUGUGGCUUGUCUAGGACAUUUGUAUUUGUAAAUAAAUGGCUCCCUGUUUAUUAUGUAUGUUUUACUGGAAAAAAAACCAACUCUAAUGCCUCUGAGCAUGUUAUAAUACAGCAAAUAUUUCCACUUAUGGUUUCAGUUCCACUGUUUCUUGGUACUCACUAGAAAGAAAUCGGGUUACAUGGAGUCAGUUGUGGGGUUUAAGCGUCCAGGCUGACUUGGGGACGCGGCACCUCUAAAGUUCUCAUGUUUGCCAAAGUGCGGGGGGAAGGGGGAAUGGCUCCUAGGAAUCUUAUGGGGAUUAAUCUGGGGUUUCGCCUUUGUCCCGGGAUCUUUCUAAGGCUCACCACGGCCUCCGUCUGCAGCUUCAGAAGCGAAGCCGGCGUGCGAUCUCCUUGGCGGGCGGACUGGGCACAGUCCCUGCCUUGCCCUGCUGCCGGCGCCCGCACACCGCGGUCUCAGGAUCUCCCCGCAGGCCUAGGCCUGCAGUCCUCGGGCGGAGACGGGGCCUGGGGGAGCGACCCUCACCGGGCCAGGCACAGGCAGUUUACCCUGGUGCCUGUAGGGUGCUCGAGUUUCCCACACGCGGGAAGCGGAGGCGUGGGCCAAGCGCCGGGGGCUGCCCAAGAACUCCACCGCCCCGUGCGGCGCGCAGGGCCUGGCGGCGCGAAACUUCCACAAAGCCGCCGGCCGCCUCCGGCCUUGCCUCCACUCCGCAGUCCCAGCUGCCUAGACCUCGGUGUCUUCCCAGACAAUGAGCCCUGCCAGUGCACUAGGCUGUUCCGCUCUGACUUCUUCUGCCCGCACAUGGGGACCCGAGCGAAAGGUUAUGGGUUGGAACAAGUCAGCGCAUCUCCUUCCACGCGCCGCAUCCUUCGGGAAGACAAACAGAGUACGCCCCCCACCUCAAUUUCGGGCCCUGGUCUGUGGGCUGGGCCACAGUCCGGGAAGACCCAAGGGGUCACGGGUCCAGAUCCGUCUUUACUUUGUCCUCCGCUCCAGGGCUCCAGGGCCCUGGGCAGCAGAGAGGUGGAUUUCAGAGAAAGCCCGGGUCAGCCAGGCCUUGAACUCAGCCCCUCUGAACUCCACCGUCAGCAGCGUGGGCGGCAACUCAAUUCUCCUGGGAGGAGGCUGCACCCCCAGAACGGAAAAUCCGCAAACGUCGCGCAGAGACCCACAGGCAUUUCUACCUUUCCUUCCACAAGCCCUGCAGAAAGUUAUCGCCAGAACCUCUGGAACCUGAGCCGACUCCAGCCUCCAGCAACUCCCUCAACCUUCCAGGGAAACUUUCAGAAGUUUCCCUUUCCUUCGCUCCUCAAUUCCUUGGACUUUCUCCAGCCCCCAGGUUUGCUCAUUACUCUGCUGACUGCCCUUUAGUCUCUAGGGCUCCACAGGCCUGAGCGUUUCCAGAAUAAUAAUAAUAAUAAUAAUAAUAAUAAUAAUAAUAAUAAUAAUAAUUGUUAUUAUGAGGCUGGGGAAGAACAGGAUCAGAGGGUAGGAGGGACUGAGGGAGAGAGUGGACAUGUUUAUGAAAAGGUUUAUUUAAACCUGUGUUUCAAAAGGGUUCAGUUGACAAUUAUCAGUAACCCCGAUAGACAACUCCAUUAAAAAAAAAAAGAAUUUACUAUUGCUCUUGAAAGCCGUUAUUUUUUCCAUCGCUUUUUAGGAAGAUAGAUGAACAAAACAUCGCGUUUCAAGCCAUUUUGAUCUGUAAUUGAAAGGCAGGAUCGGUUUGUAUUCUCCUACGGCUUUUACAGAAGUUGCAGUGAUCCAAAGUCGGGUUGCUGUGUCAGAGUGGCAUUUUUAUUAAUGAGAAUACAAAAAGCUUGCAUAUUCUUAGCCCUGCUUGAAUUUAGUUGCUAAGCAACGGGUGUAUGGUAAUUCAUCCGCGAAAUUUAAAUCUUUGAGAAAGGUUCGUGCGUUUUGCUGAAUGGUCGCCACGAGGAAAACAACUUGUGGGACCCACAGCAGCUGCCACAGUCUGGCCGCCCGGCCGUGCCGGGCCGAGCAGGGACCCGGCCGCCCCACCGCGACCGCCACCGCC